GUGCUUCCUCAGUCCCCAGGCCCAGCACCUGCAGGGCCGACCAGCUCCAGUCCCAGGUCCAAUCCUGAGUGGCCAAAAGCCGGAAACCCGGAGUUGGAAUUGGAUCUUGCACAAGCUGGACCACGUAAGCUGGGCCAGGCCAGAGGUGGAGGCCACCGCUGCGGGAGGAGGGCAUCUGAUGAUUUUGAAGGACCCCAUUAAUAGAGGGUAUAAACCAGGUGCGGGCCAUCAGGGAGGAUUGUCACUCUGGCCCGAUCUUGUUUGUUUACACCAGGAAGGGCCUGCCUUCCACCUGCAAGAAAAUAUGGCAGCUGCAGAAUAAUGUGGCGCAAUGCCAAAUAUCCGUUUGUUUUAGGGAGUGAGGCUACUUGAGAAGCAUCUUAAAUGGGGAGAGAGAGCAAGUUAAAUCUGAUUUCCACGCAGCUCUGUGGAUUCCGAAUGUCCACAGUAUGAUGUUAUCUCCAUUCCCACUUCCGAGCCGCUCCUCUUCUGUGUUUCCUGCACCACCAUUCGCUCAGUUGCUCUACACUAAAAUUUGCUGUCAUCGUUGACUUCUCCCUCUCCUUCAUCCCCUACAAGUAUCAACAUAGACAACUCCGAUCAAUAUAAUCAUCAGUGAAUAAAGCAAAUUGCAGCGCAUAUUCUUAAAGACAAACUUUCCACUUGCAGCAGCACCUACCUUCCAGAUAGCUAAAUUGAAGCCCGUGUUUAUCAUAGCUGCUUCUAACCAGCCAGAGCUGAUAAUAACUAAGAACUUGCAGGAAUUGCAGUAUGCCAGACCUUCAAUUUAAUUGAAGACUUUCCUGAACAAUUAAUGAGACUUGUCUUAACCAGCAGGGAAUGGCUUUAGGGACUCAUUCUUCCCUAUGCAGGUGCAAGCCUCAAACCUUAAUUAGGAUCAUCCACCAUGAUCCUCGAGCCCUUCCCCACCUUAUACUUGAAGAGGCUGAACCUCAGAGAAUUAAAUUACCUACAGUCCUGGUCACUGGUAGAGCUAUUAUUUAAAGUAAGGUCUAAUGUCAAAGCCUGCGUCCUUAAUUCUACCAUAUGCUGCUUCUUGCAGUGUCGUUCCUCAACCAGAACACAUAGCUCUUCUGUGUAGGUAAAGUCCAUCAAAACAUGUCAUAAAAUAAAUUAAAGAAAUUGGUUUCUGCUCUAUUUCAAUUAGUACCAGAGUAAAACAAUCAAUGAUUUGUGUUUGGGAAUAUUUCUAGUUGGCAUUAACGUUGUUAGGAGAUAGCUUAGCUCUUCACUGGGGGCCCACUGAAUUAUCGGAACCCUGGAACACAAAUGUGUCAAAAGGGUGUAAUCAAAAUUAUGUCAGGGAAUGUUAAGUUUCUAGUCUUUGGUCACUGAGGCCUAUCAGUAGGUUUGGGUGUUUUGUUUUGUUUUUCCCACAAAGAGGCUUUGAGUAAGAAUUGUGUCUGGUAGACAAACACAGGUACACACACAGGUGUGUACUCACACAGCAAGAGCAGUAGAGAUCAUCUCCCACAACACAAGAGCUCAUGAAGAAAGGGAAUUGAGCUUCAAUGUAAGCAUUAGUUUAGCAUUUUUGGAGCCUGAAUGUGUUGACUUUACAAAUUAAGAAGUCCCUGAACAAAAACGUCAAAAACAAAUCCCAAGUUGCAGUCUGCCCAGGUAAUUCAUGUCUAUCAAGUGUCUACAAUACCAAUUUCUACAUCUUUGGGAGUAUUUUAUAGGUUUGUUUGAAGAGCAAGGUCAAUAACUCUUUCCCCAAGAAAUAAAUGAAAUCAUAAAAAAAAAACCGCCUAUUUUCUUAACCUAACCUAUCUGCCAUCUACUUCUGGAUCAUAUUCAUUGGAGCCAUAAAAAUAUUAGCAGAAGCAUAUGCAGUUCUUAUUAUCUGCCACUGUUGGAAGCGCUUUACAUAUGUUAACUAACUUACACUUCAUACCAACUCUGUGCAGUGACGACUAUGAUUAUCUCCUGCUUUACACAUGGAAGAAAUUGAGGCACAGACUACAAGGUCACACAGCAAAUGGCAGAGCUGUCCUAACUCUGCAUUUGUUUCUUGCAGUGAAGAGUCUUUUUUCUGUCUCUUAGUCUGUUCUCAACACAGUGACCAGAGCACUUGGGUUAGAAGUCUGACUGUGCCAUUUCUCUCCCCAAAACCCUCUGGUGGCACCCCUUUUCUCAGGCAGUGCUUUGCAAAGCCCCACACAUCCUCCUCCCUGACAUCAGCAUCUUCUCUUUCCCCCUCACUUGUGUUUCCUUCUUGCCCUCAGCUGCUUCAUCUGCCUGGAACGCCUCCCCAGACAAUCUCCUGGUUCACGCCCUCUCCUCCUUUCUGUCUUUACGCAAAUGUCACUUCUCAGAGAGACCUUCCCUAAUCACCUGAUUUAAAACUUCAACUCAUCUGCAUUUCCCCCGACAGCAUCUUUCCUUCCAUGACAAUUCCCUGCUAACCUGCUCUGUAACUGGCUUAAUCAUCGUAGAGCCUACCUCCCCCUUUUUUGCAUGUUUGUUUCAUGGGAGUGAUGAUAUUUAUGCAGCAUUUAGCACAGUGCCUGGCCCAUAACCAGUACUCAGUAAACAUGUGUUGAAUGGACAAGUAGAUGUGGAGUGAGAAAUGAGAGGGGUGGUCGGCAGACAGGAGAACAAAGGCCACAUGUACAGUUUGCCCUGGCUGUACCCUGGCUCUGGUUCUUCCUGCCUUGGCCUCAGCCAGAUACACCUGUGUCCUUCUCAUGUACUUACCCCCACGUCCUCUGUUGAAGCUUAGGACAUCCAGAGUUGCAUUUGUUUCUUGCAGUGAAGAGUCUUUUAAAAUCUGAAAUAGGCUGUGAGCGGUGGCUCACGCCUGUAAUCCCAUCACUUUGGGAGGCUGAGGCACAUGGAUCACCUGAGGUCAGGAGUUCGAGACUAGCCUGGCCAACAUGGUGAAACGCUGUCUCUACUAACAAUACAAAAAAAAAAAAAUAGCCGGGUGUGAUGGUGCACGCCUGUAAUCCCAGCUACUCAGGAGGCUGAGAUGGAAGAAUCGCUUGAACCUAGGAGGCAGAGGUUGUAGUAAGCCGAGAUCACUCUACUGCACUCCAGCCUGGGUGACAGAGGGAGACUCCAUUUCCAAAAAAAAGA
RNAcentral lists this long non-coding RNA (3102 nucleotides) under Homo sapiens (human). Its description in RNAcentral is "non-protein coding lnc-MAK-1:6". Lineage: Eukaryota; Metazoa; Chordata; Mammalia; Primates; Hominidae. The record is from RNAcentral.